AGGAUUAACGCUGGCGGCGUGCCUGACACAUGCAAGUCGAACGAGGCCGCAAGGCCGAGUGGCGGACGGGUGAGUAACACGUGACCAACCAACCUCGAAGUUGGGAAUAGCUCUGCGAAAGUAGGGGUAAUACCGAAUGUGGCCCAGGGCGGGCAUCCGCCUUGGUCUAAAGAUUCAUCGCUUCGAGACGGGGUCGCGGCCUAUUAGCUUGUUGGUGAGGUAACGGCUCACCAAGGCGAUGAUGGGUAGCUGGUCUGAGAGGACGACCAGCCACACUGGGACUGAGACACGGCCCAGACUCCUACGGGAGGCAGCAGUGAGGAAUCUUCCGCAAUGGGCGAAAGCCUGACGGAGCAACGCCGCGUGUGGGAUGAAGACUCUAGGGUUGUAAACCACUGUCGGAGGGACGAUCGUGACGGUACCCUCAAGAAACGCCCCGGAUAACCUACGCGCCAGCAGCCGC
Molecule: ribosomal RNA, 463 nt
Filed under: uncultured bacterium
Lineage: Bacteria
Description: SSU rRNA
Rfam family: Bacterial small subunit ribosomal RNA
Source: RNAcentral